UGAAAUAAUGACUUUGGAAUUU
RNAcentral lists this microRNA (22 nucleotides) under Dinoponera quadriceps. Its description in RNAcentral is "dqu-miR-11654-3p". Lineage: Eukaryota; Metazoa; Arthropoda; Insecta; Hymenoptera; Formicidae. The record is from miRBase by way of RNAcentral.